Molecule: ribosomal RNA, 119 nt
Filed under: Pteropus alecto (black flying fox)
Lineage: Eukaryota; Metazoa; Chordata; Mammalia; Chiroptera; Pteropodidae
Source: RNAcentral
GUCUACAGCCAUGCCACCCUGGACAAGACCGAUCCCGUCUGAUCUCGGAAGCUAAGCAGGGUCGGGCCUGGUUAGAACUUGGAUGGGAGACUACCUAGGAAGACCAGGUGCUGUAGAAG